Monodelphis domestica (gray short-tailed opossum) is the source of this 2472-nucleotide long non-coding RNA. RefSeq lists it as uncharacterized. The record is from RefSeq and is a predicted model, not a curated record. Lineage: Eukaryota; Metazoa; Chordata; Mammalia; Didelphimorphia; Didelphidae.
GGGCGAGCUAGCGUGCCCACAGCUUCCGCUCCCUCCGCAGCUCCCGCAGCCUCUUGCCAUUUCCUGAACAAUGCCGGCUGAGUUCCCGCUCCCCCGCCUCUGCUGGCCACAGACGAGUAAUUACUUAGGAAAAGUUGACCGAUGGCUUGAUGUGAAGAGCUCUUGUGGUUCGCAAGGCGUGGAGCCGGGGACGUCGCGCCCACGUCCCAUGGUGCUCGGCUCUAGGGGAAAAAGGCUGCUCUCGAUUUUCUGCGGGCCUAUGAUCUGCUUUGUGCAUGAUCUGUGGCAAAUGUUUCAUCUCUGGCUGGCUCCCUACUGCCACUCAGCACGCCUCCGGAGCUCCUCCCUUUAUCAAAGAGGGGUUCCCGCUGAGAGAUUGCGGCUCCCUUUUCAUUUCAGCCUGAGCCAACACCAUUAGCCAAAGCUGGAUCAAGGGAUGUUGGGAGUUAACAAGUUAUACAAGAAAAGGUAAAGGAAGAAAUAUGUUUGCUGAAAAGUCAUCAAAUCAACACUACCAUUGCUUUUGGCAAGGGCAUAACAAUCUCAGUCCCUAUAGCUCCAUCCACCAUCCCUGUGACUUCCUACACCAAAACACUAUUUCUUGGCUACCACUCCACUAUAUGUGUUAUAUCUCCCAUUAGAAUGUGAAAUCCUUGAGGUCAGGGACCUUCUUUAUUUUGUACUUGUAUCCCCAGUUCUUAGCACAAUGUCUCACACAUGGUAAGUGAUUUUUCAUUCAUUCAUGUUUCCCUAGGUGUAUUCCCUCAAAUCUUCUUGCCAACCAAUAGAUAUAUGAUAUGUACAGUUAUUUUGUCUUGUGACAUGUUAUAUCUUGGAAUCAAUUUGGCUUUCCUUUUUUCCAUAUUGGGGUGUGUGUGUGUGUGUGUGUGUGUGUGUGUGUGUGUAUGUGCGUGCGUGCGCGUGCGUGCGUGUGCAAUGUAUUUAUUCGGUUGGUUUUGUUUGAACUAGGGAGGUGGAAGUGGACAAAUUUCAAGGGCCUUACUCUUUUACCUGAUUGAAAGAACUAGUCCUAAAAUGCCCCUUUCUAUUCACCCUUAAAUGGCCCUUUUCCUUCUUUUCUCUUUUCCAACCUUCAGUGUCAUUGUACCUGUCUUUCCCUUCAGUGUCUGUCUCUCCCUCACUCUCCUCCAGAUCACCUGGGCUGUCUUUCCGUUGUCUCAUGCUUCCAAUGUGACCGAGUCACAUUCUUUUUCAGUUGUAUCUGCCCUUCAUAAAAUCUUUUAUUCCAUUUUAAGUGUUUCUGCUGAUCCCUAUUCCUUUUCUCUGUGACCAUUUUCUCUUUGCAUUUUUCUCUUUAGUCUUGUCUUUCUCUUCUUGUGCAUUUUCUGCAUUUGUUCAUGGGUAAAUGCUAAACUCAUACUGCAGAGAGAGUAAGAGACUCAAAAGGGGGUCUUCUAGUAUGUCAGGUGGCUCUUCCAUACAUAGAAGUUUUAUAGGAAAAGAGUCAAGAGUUUCAUUGGACAAUCUCUAUUACCAUCCAGUGCAGGUUGAAUCUACCUGAAUGGAAUUACAGAUCCUUUGUUUUUGUUGUUUAGUCCUUUUUCAAUGGUGUCUGACACUUUGUGACACCAUUUGGGGUUUUGGCAAAAAUACUGGAGUAGGGGCUGCUAGGUGGCUCAGUGGAUAGAGUGCCAGGCCUAGAGGUCAGAUAUUUUCUAGCUGUGUGACCCUGGGCAAGUCACUUAACCCCAAUUGCCUAUUUUUUACUGCUCUUUUGCCUUGGAACAAAUACUUGGUAUCGAUUCUAAAUACAGAGUUUAAAAAAAGAUACUGGGGAGAGCAAUCUGGAAUUAUAAUCAAAUUGUUAUAAAACUGUAUGCCUUUUGACCCAGUAAUACCAAUAUUAGGUUAUUUCCUAAGGUGAUCAAGGAAAAAGGAAAAGAAACUAUAUAAUCUAAAAUAUCUACAGCAGCUCUUUUUGUGGUGGAAAAGAACCAGAAAUUGAAGGGAUGCCCAUCAACUGAGGAAUGGCUAGUUAAAUUGUGAUAUAUACUUGUAAUGGAAUACGAUUGUGACAUAAGAAAUCACAAACAAGAUGAUCACAAAAAAUCCUUGAAAGACUUAUAUGAAGUGAUGCAAAGUGAAGUGAGCAGAACCAGGAGAAUGUGACAACAAUAAUAAAGGAUGAUCAACUGCAAAUGCCUUAAUUAUUAUCAACAAGGCAAGGAUUCAGGAUGACUCCAAGGGAUUCAUGAGGAAAAAAGCUAUCUAACAACAUAGAGGGAAUAGUUAAGAGUCUGAAUGCAGAUUGAAACAUACCAUUCUUUAUUUCUUUCAUGAAUUUUUCUCUAAUAUAAGUGAUGUGUGUCUUGUUUCACAACAUGAUGAAUAGAGAAAUAUGUAUUAUAUGAUGAUAUAUGUAAUGACUAUAUAAUAUUACCUGCCUUCUUUGGGUGGCAGGAAGGAUGGGAAGGAGGGGAAAAUAAAAAAAAUGAGAAGUAGAUUUUUGGA